AUAGCACAAGCUAGUAAGUCCCCUCGCAGAUUACGAGGUUGAUAGGAUGCAGAUAGAAGAAUGGCAACAUUUGCAGUCGAGCAUUACUAAUCGGACGAGGGCUUUUCCUG
This 110-nucleotide ribosomal RNA is filed under the name Candidatus Galligastranaerophilus gallistercoris. RNAcentral's name for it is "partial 23S ribosomal RNA". It matches the Rfam family "Bacterial large subunit ribosomal RNA", at positions 2815 to 2925 of the family's 2925-position model. Lineage: Bacteria; Bacillati; Candidatus Melainabacteria; Candidatus Gastranaerophilales; Candidatus Gastranaerophilaceae. The record is from RNAcentral.